This 1590-nucleotide long non-coding RNA is filed under the name Salvia miltiorrhiza (redroot sage). RNAcentral describes it as "long non-coding RNA (SMIL_LNC010470)". The record is from RNAcentral. Lineage: Eukaryota; Viridiplantae; Streptophyta; Magnoliopsida; Lamiales; Lamiaceae.
CUCCAUCUUCUCACCUCAUCACACACAGAGAGACUAUGGCUCCCAAAUCCUCCUUUCUCUCUCAUCAGCCCUCCAAAGACGAAGACGAGAGAGAGGAAUCAUCCUCCGGCGAAGAAGAAGAAAAAGAAGACGAAUCAGAGCCGCAAUCUUCCUCCGACGACGAAACGGAGGCGGGCUCCUCCUCCGAGGAAGCCCCAAAUCGACGAACCCUAGAAAGUCUCAAUUCCCCAAUAUCAGCUCCCAAAUCGGCCUCGCGAGGUAAUAGAUUGGAUUCCGACGCCGAUUCCGACGGCUCCCCUUCCAAUUACAUGCUACAGCCGAUCCGCAAGGGCUCCGUCUCCUCAUCGAAGCGCAGCCGUGAUGAGAUUCAGGAGGAUUUGUUGAGGAGCUAUAAGAGCUCGAGAAUUGAGGAGAAGAAAUCUCCUUCCACUCCGGCGGGAGGUGGUGGGGGUGGGGGUGGGGGUGGGGGUGGGCUGGGGUGUAUCAAUAGGCUGUGGAGUAACGAGGAUGAGAUCGCCGUGCUAAAUGGGAUGAUUGAAUUCAAAACCGCCAAGGGUUUCGACCCGAACGCGGAUAUGGGGGCGUUUCACAGCUUCAUCAAGGGGAAAUUGAAGGUGGAUUUCUCGAGGGAUCAGCUGAGGACUAAGAUUACAAGGAUGAAGAAGAGGUUCUUGAAUGCUUUGAAGAAGGGCGCGGACCCUGUCUUCUCGAAGCCUCACGAGGAUACGGCAUUCGUGCUCUCGAAGAGGAUUUGGGGGAAAAGUGAGAAUGCGAAGAAGAAGGUGGAGAAGGAUGUGGUGGAUGAGAGAGAGGCUGUGGAGAGAGAAAGGGAUGGCGAAGGAGAGGACUUUUGGUCCAAGUACCCGAACAUUAAUGCGUCCUUUGAUACUAUGAAGGCGAACUUCCCCUCCCUCGUUGCUCCCGUGGCUGGGAUGAGUUUGUUGAGGGAGAGGUUGAGUUUGAUCGGGAAUGUGAAGGCCAAGGCAUUGGAUAAUAAGUGGAAGCAGUUGCUUGUGGAGGAGAGUGAGCUGAGUUACAAGAUUUUGAUGUUGAUGAAGGAACAGGUUGAAAUGGCUUUGGAUCAAUGAUAGGGUUGACAAUUGCUAAGUUGGUAUUUUUGUGCUUUAUUUUAUACUCCCCUUUUAAAGUUAAUUGUGAUUCUUUGUUUUCAUUAGGAUAAUGAAGUUUUUGAGUAUAUGUUCAAAUUCUUGCUUAAGUUAAUAGUUAAUCUGUCAUUGUUUCUAAUUUCUAUGAUGAAUUUAAUUUUUGAUAUACUUGUUAAGUUAAUUGUGAUUCUUUGUCUUGAUUGGGAUAAUGGAGUUUUUGAGUAUAUGUUCAAAUUCUUGCUUUAGUUAGUUAAUUUAUAAUUGUUUCUGUGAUGAAGUUAGUUCUUGAUAUGCUUAUUGAUGAAGCUACUUGUUUCUGAACAUUACUGCUUGUUUUUUAUAGUAUGACUGCGAAAGUGAAAAUUGAUAGAUAGAUGAUGAAUCAUGACUAGAUCUUGAUGGUAAGAUCCUAAAAUGCACUAACUGGAUUUGCUAAAAUACAUGUUAUUGUUAAUGUUCCUACUUCGAAAGCUGAUAAAUUUCC